RNAcentral lists this ribosomal RNA (828 nucleotides) under uncultured bacterium. RNAcentral describes it as "bacterial SSU rRNA". It matches the Rfam family "Bacterial small subunit ribosomal RNA", at positions 28 to 848 of the family's 1533-position model. The record is from RNAcentral.
AGCGAACGCUGGCGGCGUGCUUAACACAUGCAAGUCGAGUGCGCAAUCUUCUGUAGCAAUACAGGGGGUGGGCGCACGGCGCACGGGUGCGUAACACGUGGGCAACCUGCCCUUCGGUGGGGAAUAACUCCGCGAAAGCGGAGCUAAUUCCGCAUGACAUUCCGGGAAGUCCGCUUCCUGGACUCAAAGGCUGCAAGGCCGCCGGAGGAGGGGCCCACGCCCGAUUAGCUAGUUGGCAGGGUAACGGCCUACCAAGGCUAUGAUCGGUAGCCGGUCUGAGAGGAUGGCCGGCCACACUGGAACUGAGACACGGUCCAGACUCCUACGGGAGGCAGCAGUGGGGAAUCUUGCGCAAUGGGCGAAAGCCUGACGCAGCGACGCCGCGUGGGGGAUGAAGCUUUUCGGAGUGUAAACCCCUUUCGACCCGGACGAAUGGCCCGCAAGGGACGUGACGGUACGGGUAGAAGAAGCCCCGGCUAACUACGUGCCAGCAGCCGCGGUAAGACGUAGGGGGCCAGCGUUGCUCGGAAUUACUGGGCGUAAAGGGUUCGUAGGCGGUGCGGCAAGUCGGGAGUGAAAUCUCUGGGCUUAACCCAGAGGCUGCUUCCGAAACUGCCGUGCUCGAGUGCGGGAGAGGCGAGUGGAAUUGCAGGUGUAGCGGUGAAAUGCGUAGAUAUCUGCAGGAACACCCGUGGCGAAAGGCGGCUCGCUGGACCGCAACUGACGCUGAGGAACGAAAGCUAGGGGAGCAAACAGGAUUAGAUACCCUGGUAGUCCUAGCCCUAAACGAUCAGGACUUGGGGUGGCUCGCGUAGGCGGGUCGUCCCG